RNAcentral lists this long non-coding RNA (825 nucleotides) under Carassius auratus (goldfish). Its description in RNAcentral is "lncRNA (ENSCARG00000029271.1)". The record is from RNAcentral. Lineage: Eukaryota; Metazoa; Chordata; Actinopteri; Cypriniformes; Cyprinidae.
UGGUGUGUUACCUCUAUUAAACUUCUGGCAGUAACAAUUUAAGGUCGAACAGGUUAUAUUUAGAACGUAAUCGUGUAGAUGCCAAUAACCAUGAACGGUUACUGAGUAAUAAUUGGACCGUUCUUCAUGUAUAUUAAUGAGUAAAUCCGCGGAGAUUGAUAGUGAAGGUUGAGAAAUACUGAUCUUAUUCAAAUCCCUUAAGUUAAUACUGUAAUAAGGAGACCAUCUUUGAAACAAUUACGAAAGUCGUGAAUGUACAAGCUGUGAAUAUCACAUCUGUGAAGGCAAAACAGCACUUCUCCUUUUGGUCAUUUAUCCUAAAUCUUCCUUCAUAUCGUGCCUGGAAGCUUGGUUUGAAGAAAGGUAAGAUUUCUGUUUUAUUAUAUUGUAAUUUUGCAAUUAUUUUAAACAAUUCAAGGAUCACAAUAACAACCCUUUAUUUCGAAAGCAGUGAUGUCUGGUACAAAGGGGAAAUAUGCAGAUAAAUGGCCCAGAUAGCCAAGCUGGAGUGACAAAGGUUGUUACAAUUUCAGUCAUAAAUGCUUUAAAAUAUUUCCAUAUGACAUAUAGGUGCUUCGCAAUGAAUUAGAAUGUCGUGAAAAAGUUCAUUUAUUUCAGUAAUUCAACUGAAAUUGUGAAACUUGUGUAUUAAAUCAAUUCAGUGCACGCAGACUGAAAUAGUUUAAGUCUUUUGUUCUUUUAAUUGUAAUGAUUUUGGCUCACAUUUAACAAAACCCCACCAAUUCACUAUCUUAACAAAUUUUAAUACUUCAUAAGACCAAUAAAAAAAAAUAUAAAAAAUUGUGAAUUGUUUGCCCUCUGGAA